RNAcentral lists this ribosomal RNA (208 nucleotides) under uncultured bacterium. RNAcentral describes it as "partial 16S ribosomal RNA". It matches the Rfam family "Bacterial small subunit ribosomal RNA", at positions 1294 to 1500 of the family's 1533-position model. The record is from RNAcentral.
CGGAUUGUAGUCUGCAACCCGAUUACAUGAAGCUGGAAUCGCUAGUAAUCACGAAUCAGAAUGUCGCGGUGAAUACGUUCCCGGGUCUUGUACACACCGCCCGUCACACCAUGGGAGUCGGUAACGCCCGAAGCCUGUGACCCAACCCUAGUGGAGGGAGCAGUCGAAGGUGGGACCGGUGACUGGGGUGAAGUCGUAACAAGGUAAC